UACGAAGGGGGCUAGCGUUGCUCGGAAUUACUGGGCGUAAAGCGCACGUAGGCGGUCUUUUAAGUCGGGGGUGAAAUCCUGGAGCUCAACUCCAGAACUGCCUUCGAUACUGGAAGACUUGAGUCCGGGAGAGGUGAGUGGAACUGCGAGUGUAGAGGUGAAAUUCGUAGAUAUUCGCAAGAACACCAGUGGCGAAGGCGGCUCACUGGCCCGGUACCGACGCUGAGACGCGAAAGCGUGGGGAGCGAACAGG
Molecule: ribosomal RNA, 253 nt
Filed under: uncultured bacterium
Lineage: Bacteria
Description: partial 16S ribosomal RNA
Rfam family: Bacterial small subunit ribosomal RNA
Source: RNAcentral